RNAcentral lists this ribosomal RNA (253 nucleotides) under uncultured bacterium. RNAcentral's name for it is "partial 16S ribosomal RNA". It matches the Rfam family "Bacterial small subunit ribosomal RNA", at positions 524 to 776 of the family's 1533-position model. The record is from RNAcentral.
UACGGGGGGGGUAAGCGUUGUUCGGAAUUACUGGGCGUAAAGGGCUCGUAGGCGGCCAACUAAGUCGGACGUGAAAUCCCUCAGCUUAACUGGGGAACUGCGUCCGAUACUGGAUGGCUUGGAUUUGGGAGAGGGAUGCGAAAUUCCAGGUGUGGCGGUGAAAUGCGUAGAUAUCUGGAGGAACACCGGUGGCGAAGGCGGCAUCCUGGACCAAUAUUGACGCUGAGGAGCGAAAGCCAGGGGAGCAAACGGG